UGGGGAAUAUUGCGCAAUGGGGGCAACCCUGACGCAGCCAUGCCGCGUGAAUGAAGAAGGCCUUCGGGUUGUAAAGUUCUUUCGGUGACGAGGAAGGCGUGAUGUUUAAUAGGCAUCACGAUUGACGUUAAUCACAGAAGAAGCACCGGCUAACUCCGUGCCAGCAGCCGCGGUAAUACGGAGGGUGCGAGCGUUAAUCGGAAUAACUGGGCGUAAAGGGCACGCAGGCGGCUAUUUAAGUGAGGUGUGAAAUCCCCGGGCUUAACCUGGGAAUUGCAUUUCAGACUGGGUAGCUAGAGUACUUUAGGGAGGGGUAGAAUUCCACGCGUAGCGGUGAAAUGCGUAGAGAUGUGGAGGAAUACCGAAGGCGAAGGCAGCCCCUUGGGAAUGUACUGACGCUCAUGUGCGAAAGCGUGGGGAGCAAACAGGAUUAGAUACCCUGGUAGUCCACGCUGUAAACGCUGUCGAUUUGGGGAUUGGGCCUUGAGCUUGGUGCCCGAAGCUAACGUGAUAAAUCGACCGCCUGGGGAGUACGGCCGCAAGGUUA
This 547-nucleotide ribosomal RNA is filed under the name uncultured bacterium. RNAcentral's name for it is "bacterial SSU rRNA". It matches the Rfam family "Bacterial small subunit ribosomal RNA", at positions 355 to 896 of the family's 1533-position model. The record is from RNAcentral.